This 254-nucleotide ribosomal RNA is filed under the name uncultured bacterium. RNAcentral's name for it is "partial 16S ribosomal RNA". It matches the Rfam family "Bacterial small subunit ribosomal RNA", at positions 524 to 776 of the family's 1533-position model. The record is from RNAcentral.
UACGUAGGAUCCAAGCAUUAUCCGGAAUUACUGGGCGUAAAGAGUUGCGUAGGUGGCAUUGUAAGCAAGACAUGAAAUCGUGUGGCUCAACCAUACGGCUAUGUUUUGAACUGCAAAGCUAGAGAAUGAGAGGGGUAGAUGGAAUUACUAGUGUAGGAGUGAAAUCCGUAGAUAUUAGUAGGAACACCGAUAGCGUAGGCAGUCUACUGGCUCAUUUCUGACACUCAGGCACGAAAGCGUGGGGAGCGAACAGG